UCCCUGGUGGCCCAGCGGUUAAGGAUCCAGCAUUGUCACCAUAGUGGCUUGGGUCUCUGCUGUGACUCGGGUUCGAUUCCUGGCCUGGGAA
This is a transfer RNA of Sus scrofa (pig), 91 nucleotides long. It matches the Rfam family "tRNA". From Rfam's summary of the family: Transfer RNA (tRNA) molecules are approximately 80 nucleotides in length. Lineage: Eukaryota; Metazoa; Chordata; Mammalia; Artiodactyla; Suidae. The record is from Rfam.